AUAACUAAAAUGCGUACCUACUGGUACUUCACUUAUAAAGAAAUAAAAUGUAAACUAAUAAUAUGCUUUAACACUACUAAAACCAACAACAACAACAAAAGAAAUCUGUCAAUAAGGUCGAACACUCUGAACGUCUAUUCGCAUCAACAGCCAAAUAUUGUAUGAACCUCGCACGCGGACCCGCCGCCUUUUUAUAGCUCCCACCGCGAAGCGCGUCGAACGCGGCAACUGAUACACAAAAAUAAUCCUUAUGGCAUGAUUCUGUAUUCACGCGCGAUGACUUAUAGCGUAUUUCAUGUUCAGUAGCACCUCGUUAAGUCGAACCUCGAUAAGUCAAAUACCUCCAAAUCUAGAAAAAAUGUUUUGUUCCCUUCCCCUCAAACACCAAAACCUCCAUUACUUGAAAUCUUGACCCUCUAUUAGUUGAAAUAAUCACCGAGUCCCUCCAAGCCAUUUUGGUACAUAUUUUCACUCUUUAACCGUUCGAAGAAGUUUAGUUGAUCUGCUCUUAAACAUGCAAUAACCUAUCUUAUUUUGCGUCCCUCUACUUUUAUCUCCAAUUCUUAAUUUAUUUUAUUUUAAUUGCCAUGGCUAAGUGCACGUUUAUAUUUAUUUUUUCUUAUUCGCAUUUGUUGCACGUAUAAAAAUGUAUGUAUCCAAACUGUGGAUACUGUUGUUGGUUGGACAGUUAUACCUGUAUUUAGAUUAAGUUUUAUUGUACAAUUAACCACUGUUCUGCUGUUUAUUAUCCCUAAUAAAGAAAAUAAAAUAAAAUAAAAUAACUCGAAAAAUUAACUUUCACCUUUGUAUCUCGACCAUAGCAACGUUUUAUUUUACAACCUUUAUCUACAACUUGAUCAUUUGGAAUUUAUUAUCUCUAUUGUUCGAACAAAAAUAAGUUGCCGACUUUAAGAACUUGAACUUUUUUGUGUACUUUUUAUGUAAAACAAUCGAUGUACAGCUGCUAAUGAGCCUUAAUAAAAUAAAAUAAAAUAAACUUGCCGACAAUGUAAGUACACUAUUGUUUCUUAGAAAACAUUUUAGGACUAUACCAUAAUAAAUUUAUGACUCACGUAAACACGUGUUUGCAUUAUCUGAUGACGAAAUUAUUUUUAUUUUAAUUGCCAUGGCUAAGUGCACGUUCUGAUGAGUCUUUUUCCCAGACAGAUGAAAAGAACUCUGCGAACAUAUUACUUAUUUUCAAUAUCUGUAUGUGCUGAACGAUUACCCAGAGUAAGCGUGGGAACGGACGAAGCGCGUUUUUUGUCUUUAAUGUAAGACCAAAAAAGUUUUGUAGAUUGGGGUAGCAACGCAACUUAUAUCGGUCAGUUUCCUAGCGGUCCGCCCCGGCUUCGCCCGUGGUACAUAUUUACGUUUUCUCUACAUAAAAACCAUCCUCGUACUUCAAGGAAUAUAAUAGAAAAGAAUUAUCGAAAUCGGUUCAGCCGUUCACACGUGAUGCCAUGACAACGCGAAACGGGUGCAGACCCGCCGCCUUUUUAUAGCUCCCGCCGCGAAGCGCGUCGAACGCGGCAACUGAUACACAAAAAUAAUCCUUAUGGCUGCAUGAUUCUGUAUUCACGCGCGAUGACUUAUAGCGUAUUUCAUGUAUAACUUUGGUGUUUCUACACCGAUUUACAUGAUUCUUUUACUAUAACCUGCCCAGGAGUAUGAAGAAUAAUUGUGCCAAAUUUGGUUAAAAUCCGUCGUGUAGUUUUUGUUUCUAUAACGAAUAUACAGACAGACAGACAGACAGACAGACAGACAGACAGACAAAAAUUUUACUGAUUGCAUUUUUGGCAUCAGUAGCGAUCCCUUAUCACCCCUUCAUAGUUUUUUUUUAAAUAUAUUUCAUGUACAGAAUUGGCCUCUCUACA
This is a long non-coding RNA of Colias croceus (clouded yellow), 1877 nucleotides long. RefSeq lists it as uncharacterized. The record is from RefSeq and is a predicted model, not a curated record. The transcript has 2 exons. Lineage: Eukaryota; Metazoa; Arthropoda; Insecta; Lepidoptera; Pieridae.